Molecule: ribosomal RNA, 484 nt
Filed under: uncultured bacterium
Lineage: Bacteria
Description: bacterial SSU rRNA
Rfam family: Bacterial small subunit ribosomal RNA
Source: RNAcentral
AUUGAACGCUGGCGGCAUGCCUUACACAUGCAAGUCGAACGGCAGCGGGCCCUUCGGGGUGCCGGCGAGUGGCGAACGGGUGAGUAAUGCAUCGGAACGUACCCGGGAGAGGGGGAUAACCGGCCGAAAGGCUGGCUAAUACCGCAUGAUCUCGGAAGAGCAAAGCGGGGGACCUUCGGGCCUCGCGCUCUCGGAGCGGCCGAUGUCCGAUUAGCUAGUUGGUGAGGUAAAGGCUCACCAAGGCGACGAUCGGUAGCGGGUCUGAGAGGACGAUCCGCCACACUGGGACUGAGACACGGCCCAGACUCCUACGGGAGGCAGCAGUGGGGAAUCUUGGACAAUGGGCGCAAGCUGGAUCCAGCAAUGCCGCGUGGGUGAAGAAGGCCUUCGGGUUGUAAAGCCCUUUCGGUGGGGAAGAAAUCGGUCAGGCGAAUAGUCUGGCUGGAUGACGGUACCCGCAGAAGAAGCACCGGCUAACUACGUG